GAUGAACGCUGGCGGCGUGCCUAACACAUGCAAGUCGAGCGAACCCUUUGGGGUGAGCGGCGGACGGGUGAGUAACGCGUGGGUAACCUGCCCUGUACACACGGAUAACAUACCGAAAGGUAUGCUAAUACGAGAUAAUAUGUAAUGAUCGCAUGGUCGAUACAUCAAAGCUCCGGCGGUACAGGAUGGACCCGCGUCUGAUUAGAUAGUUGGUGGGGUAACGGCCUACCAAGUCGACGAUCAGUAGCCGGACUGAGAGGUUGAACGGCCACAUUGGGACUGAGACACGGCCCAGACUCCUACGGGAGGCAGCAGUGGGGAAUAUUGCACAAUGGGCGAAAGCCUGAUGCAGCAACGCCGCGUGAGGGAAGACGGUCUUCGGAUUGUAAACCUCUGUCCUUGGUGACGAAACAAAUGACGGUAACCAUGGAGGAAGCCAACGGCUAACUACGUG
Molecule: ribosomal RNA, 454 nt
Filed under: uncultured bacterium
Lineage: Bacteria
Description: bacterial SSU rRNA
Rfam family: Bacterial small subunit ribosomal RNA
Source: RNAcentral